Molecule: ribosomal RNA, 232 nt
Filed under: uncultured bacterium
Lineage: Bacteria
Description: partial 16S ribosomal RNA
Rfam family: Bacterial small subunit ribosomal RNA
Source: RNAcentral
CGGGGUGAGUAACGCGUGAAUAACCUGCCUCACACUGGGGGAUAACAGUUAGAAAUGACUGCUAAUACCGCAUAAGCGCACAGUACCGCAUGGUACAGUGUGAAAAACUCCGGUGGUGUGAGAUGGAUCCGCGUCUGAUUAGCCAGUUGGCGGGGUAACGGCCCACCAAAGCGACGAUCAGUAGCCGACCUGAGAGGGUGACCGGCCACAUUGGGACUGAGACACGGCCCAA